UGAAUUUUCUGAAUAUUCUUC
This 21-nucleotide non-coding RNA is filed under the name Caenorhabditis elegans. Lineage: Eukaryota; Metazoa; Nematoda; Chromadorea; Rhabditida; Rhabditidae. The record is from RNAcentral.